UAACCUGCCCAAGAGACUGGGAUAACACCUGGAAACAGAUGCUAAUACCGGAUAACAACACUAGACGCAUGUCUAGAGUUUAAAAGAUGGUUCUGCUAUCACUCUUGGAUGGACCUGCGGUGCAUUAGCUAGUUGGUAAGGUAACGGCUUACCAAGGCAAUGAUGCAUAGCCGAGUUGAGAGACUGAUCGGCCACAUUGGGACUGAGACACGGCCCAA
This 218-nucleotide ribosomal RNA is filed under the name uncultured bacterium. Its description in RNAcentral is "partial 16S ribosomal RNA". It matches the Rfam family "Bacterial small subunit ribosomal RNA", at positions 122 to 334 of the family's 1533-position model. The record is from RNAcentral.